Molecule: ribosomal RNA, 266 nt
Filed under: uncultured Staphylococcus sp.
Lineage: Bacteria; Bacillati; Bacillota; Bacilli; Caryophanales; Staphylococcaceae
Description: partial 16S ribosomal RNA
Rfam family: Bacterial small subunit ribosomal RNA
Source: RNAcentral
CGGCGGACGGGUGAGUAACACGUGGAUAACCUACCUAUAAGACUGGGAUAACUUCGGGAAACCGGAGCUAAUACCGGAUAAUAUAUUGAACCGCAUUGUUCAAUAGUGAAAGACGGUUUUGCUGUCACUUAUAGAUGGAUCCGCGCCGCAUUAGCUGGUUGGUAAGGUAACGGCUUACCAAGGCAACGAUGCCUAGCCGACCUGAGAGGGUGAUCGGCCACACUGGAACUGAGACACGGUCCAGACUCCUACGGGAGGCAGCAGGG